Arachis ipaensis is the source of this 498-nucleotide non-coding RNA. Lineage: Eukaryota; Viridiplantae; Streptophyta; Magnoliopsida; Fabales; Fabaceae. The record is from RefSeq and is a predicted model, not a curated record.
AACCCUAACUCACCCCACCAUUCUCAUCUUCUCACUAACCCUAACUAAUCAGUCUCCAAGCGUCGUUGUCCUCUUCUUUGCCACCCUCUUCUGCGCGUGUCUCGCCGCCUCUUAAGGUCCCAUCGGCGGCGUCUUCUCCGGUCUCGUCGCCAUCUCCUGAGGUCUCCUCAUCGUCUUCUUCUGCAGUCUCGGUGUCGUCACCUACGUCAUUGAGAUCUUGGCGUCAUCUUCAAGCAGAUCAAACAACCAUGACUGUGCCAAUUCCGAACGGGAUGAUCGUCGCUUGGAGAUAUUCUCACUACCGGUGAUCACUCUGAGCUCGGUAUUCCUCCCUCUGCAUCAUUUCUUUCAGCUCGAUGUGCCUUCUAACACAGCCGGUUUUCUUGUGCCUUAUUUUGGUAGAAUGAUCUAAUUGUCGUUUCUGUGGUGCUUGAAGGAACUAUUUAGUGAAUUUUUUAUCUUGAUCUGCAUUGUCUUUGAAUUAGGCUGUAGAAAUGA